RNAcentral lists this ribosomal RNA (407 nucleotides) under uncultured bacterium. RNAcentral's name for it is "partial 16S ribosomal RNA". It matches the Rfam family "Bacterial small subunit ribosomal RNA", at positions 28 to 526 of the family's 1533-position model. The record is from RNAcentral.
GACGAACGCUGGCGGCGUGCCUAAUACAUGCAAGUAGGACGCAGUUGCGAACGGGUGAGUAACGCGUAGGUAACUACCUAUUAGAGGGGGAUAACUAUUGGAAACGAUAGCUAAUACCGCAUACUAGUAGAUGGACCUGCGUUGUAUUAGCUAGUAGGUAGGGUAAUGGCCUACCUAGGCAACGAUACAUCGCCGAGCCGAGGGGGUGGACAGCCAAACUGGGACUGAAGAACGGCCCAGACUCCUACGGGAGGCAGCAGGAGGGAAUCUUCGGCAAUGUGGGGAACCCUGACCGAGCAACGCCGCGGGAGUGAAGUAGGUUUUCGGAUCGUAAAGCUCUGUUGUUAAGGAAGCGGUACUUAACCAGAAAGGGACGGCUAACUCCGUGCCAGCAGCCGCGGUAAUUC